GAUGAACGCUGGCGGCGUGCUUAACACAUGCAAGUCGAACGGGAAACCUUUUAUUGAAGCUUCGGCAGAUUUAGCUGGUUUCUAGUGGCGGACGGGUGAGUAACGCGUGGGUAACCUACCUUAUACAGGGGGAUAACAGUCAGAAAUGGCUGCUAAUACCGCAUAAGCGCACAGAGCUGCAUGGCCCAGUGUGAAAAACUCCGGUGGUAUAAGAUGGACCCGCGUUGGAUUAGCUGGUUGGUGGGGUAACGGCCCACCAAGGCGACGAUCCAUAGCCGGCCUGAGAGGGUGAACGGCCACAUUGGGACUGAGACACGGCCCAGACUCCUACGGGAGGCAGCAGUGGGGAAUAUUGCACAAUGGGGGAAACCCUGAUGCAGCGACGCCGCGUGAAGGAAGAAGUAUCUCGGUAUGUAAACUUCUAUCAGCAGGGAAGAUAAUGACGGUACCUGACUAAGAAGCCCCGGCUAACUACGUG
Molecule: ribosomal RNA, 478 nt
Filed under: uncultured bacterium
Lineage: Bacteria
Description: partial 16S ribosomal RNA
Rfam family: Bacterial small subunit ribosomal RNA
Source: RNAcentral